Long non-coding RNA from Alexandromys fortis (reed vole), 4069 nucleotides. RefSeq lists it as uncharacterized. Lineage: Eukaryota; Metazoa; Chordata; Mammalia; Rodentia; Cricetidae. The transcript has 5 exons. The record is from RefSeq and is a predicted model, not a curated record.
UCAGCCCUGAGCUUGAUUGUUUCUGGCCACUUAUUCUUCCCAGGUUUUUCUUUUUUAUGUUGUCGGCACUUCAUUCUAUGAACUUGCCUCUUAGAACCGCCUUCAUUGUGUACCAUAGGUUUGUGGAGUUUCCAGAAACUCUGUGACCUGAGAUUUUGUAACUGAUUGAAUGAGAAAGAAGAUAUGAAAUCUCUGCUGCCCUCCAUUAACCCAGAUGUUAAAAAGAUUUGCAAAAUAUGAAAUAAUUCCACUCUUUUCGCUGAUUAUGUUUGUGUUACUGGAAAGAAGUCUUCACACCACUGGAAUAUAAAGGGUCUUUCUUCAGAGCUCCUCUCAUGACUGACAGAACCCUUGACCAUACUACCCCAGGAAGCUAACUCUCCAGAACUGCAAGCAACUAGAGCUUCAAGAAAGUUUGGCUUAUUUGGUCUAACAGACUGAAAUUUUUAGAGAAUUAUAGAUUAUGCCAAAUUUGAAUGAUAAAGAGAAAUCACUGACACUCGGUAGGAACCACAGUAGCUGGGCACGGUGAUGUUCACCUGUAAUCCCAUCCUUCCAGAGGCUGAAGCCAGAGCUUCAAGAGUUUGGACUAUACAGAGAGAUUUUUCUCAGAAAAGAUAAAGGGACUGGAGAGAUGGCUCAGUCGGUAAAAUGCUUGCCAGACAAGCAUGAGGAUCUGAGUUUCAUUCUUGGUACCCACACAAAACAUCUGGUAUAGCAAUGUGAACAUGUAAUCCCAGUACUGAGGAGGUGGAGACAAGAACAUCUUGGGGCUUACUGGAUAAUCAGUCUAACCAUAUCAGCAAGCUCCAGGGGGAUGCUGCUGGAAUUAACAUUCUGAAGACGCUGCUUUAGUUCUGGAUAAUUUUCCCAGAGUUGGGACAAAAGGCUCACCACGCACUCUUCUGCUUACCUCAAGUCUAAGAACAGAUCUGUCUUGAUUUAAGGAGAAACAAAUUCUCCUAGCUUCACAUUUCUUUAUAACCAGCACCCUGAGGAAGUUGUGCCGUGGUUCCUCAAACUCUACAACCUCAUGAAGAGGAUCAUGAUGUGAUGCACCAUCCCCCUGUAAUUAGCACAUACAGGAUCCUGGGAGAAGGUCCUCUCUUUGCAGACACCCAGAACAGGAAGUAAAGAAGUACAGGUUCCCUACCAGGACCCUCCCCACCAGCCAGGAGGCCACUUGGUUGCAAGAUUCUACUGAGGAUGAUCUGGAAUGUGAGAUGGAAACUGAGGAAUCUGAGUAAUAAACCCAAGGCAACGUGAGCCUCAAAACUCAGACAAAAACACAUUAUCUGUAAACCGAGUGCUACUCCAUGUAAAAUCUUGUUUAAAAAAAAAUCCCUAUCACUGCCUGAAAAAGAAAACCCAGUUUCCACACAAGCCCGUGCAGUUACCAGCAGCAAGGGAAAUGGAAAAACUGCUAUCAAAAACAAAAAUAAAAAUCCUGCCAGCCAGUGAGUGUCGACCUGGUAGAACAGCCCUAGGAGGGAAAAAAAAAUCACUGCAAGGGAUGCCCUAUUUCACAUCCCCUGCCAACCAGAUUGUCACAUAAACUCUUCCAACCAGAAUCCUAGAGCUCAUGACGCUCCUCGCCACAAACACUGACGAAUGGAGACCAGGGCGGAACCUUUAAAUUGUGCUUUAUUCAGAGACCGAGUGAGCUGAGAAGACAGUGUAGUAAAACCAGCUCUAGAAAAAAUGGGCUUACGCAUCGUCUCCAGCCAGCAGACUUUACAGGUGGGAGAGGCACGGCGAUAGCAGUUAUUUAUCCCAGAGCUGAGUCUUAGUCUCCUAAUGAGGUGGUCGGCCACACUCCUGAGAUUUAUGGUGGCCAUGUCAUCCCUUCCACUCUUUGCUUUGGAGGUACUGAGUCUAGUAAGCACAGGCUGGUACCGCCUCACACGCCUCCAGGAGCACCCGGGCUGGGAGGUUAACUCAAAACAAACCAACCCUUAGCUGUGUUUAUGUGCGAUUAGUAACAUGUCUGUGCAGAUGCUUUCUACAAUACGAAGCACACAUGUGUUUAUAAAGUGGGAUAUAAAACUGCACUUAUCAGUCCCUCCUGUUCCCCCAUCACUCAGGUAUAGAUAUUCUGGGGCCAGUGGGUGGAAACUCCCUGAAUUCCCAUCGUAAUAACCCUACGUGUGCUUACAAUAUCCUGAGAACUUUGUGUGCACUCUUUAGCGUCCUCAGAAGGCUGGGUGAUGCAAUGGAUGAGAUUUUUCCAGAAGAUCAUCUGGCAGCAUUAUUCAGGAGGUACUGAGAGCGGGGAGAUUCGAAGCAGAAAAUGCUGCUGGGAGGCAGGAACCGUGUUUAGGCCUCAGGGAGGCAAAACGGAGAGGUGAAGGGUAGAAGAAGGUGGUAGCGUUAGGCUGAGGAGCAGAGGGGCUAGCUCUGGUCUCACUCACCCACAGCACAGAGAAUUCUUCUGCAAGCGAGAGUGAUAUGGUGUGAACAAAAAGCGGGGUCAAUGGAAGGAUACUGAGGAAGGAGAGCAGGGAGAUAAGAAACAGGAGCGAAUGGGGAAAAUCACACGUGCAUGAAAAGGCCAUCAGGAGAUCUGCUACUUCUUUAUGUUAAUUAAAUAAUAAAAGUUGCGUCGGGAGGUUGUGUGUGUUGGGAAGACCAGUUUGGCAAUCCACUUAAGUGAACCACAAUGCUUGCAUGGUUGAAACUGAGAAGGAAUUCUCCUGGGUUCAAGACCAUUUACAGUUCGGUUGUUUGUUUUUCUUCGGUUCGGUUUGGUUUGGCUAAGCAUGGUACGUCGUCAGAGUGGCAAGUGGAAGAUGAUUUACGGGAAUAAGAGCCUGAGACAUCAGUCCUCCUCCAGGGCAGCAGCAAUGGGGAUGAGGACAAACAAGCUCCUCCCACUCCCUCUUAAAGCCCUAGUCGGGUUUGUACCAGAUACCACCAGUGGCCACAAACUGGCAACACGGCUUGACUUCACCAAGGGUUAAGUUCAAGCAAAAAGGAUUUGUCUUCUAGGUGUCCAAAUACCAGUGAAGCAGAAUCUUUCUGAGACACACUGCUUACUGUAAAGUAGCUAAUAUUCAUUCAAUGUGGCAGCCUGAAUAAGAAGGGUGCCCACAGGCUCAUAUAUUUGAAUGUUUGGUCCCCAGUUGGUGGAACUGUUUGGGAAACAUUAGAACACGUGGCUUGUUGUGUUCUCUUACACACCUCCAAAGUUCCCGCACUUGGUCCCUGAAGGACUGACAGUGCCAUGUAAGGUUAAUGGGAAGGGCUUUUUUUCUCAUUCCUAUCAACAGGCAACUGUUUAUUCAUUAAGAGCUUGCAAGCUCAAACUCAAAGGCUGUGGUCCAGCAGCAGCUUCCACAGUGCCCCCUGUAGUGGCAAGCGAGUCCAUGGUCAGGGACCGGGAGGGAAGCCCUAGCUUUGCAGGUCAGGGCCUCGAAGUCAAUGGGUGCAGCACGAGCAAAGUCCAAGAGAGCUUUCCGGCACGGCUGGUGUUUGCAGUUAUUAGUGACGCACAGGUUAGGGGAAACUGAGUCAUAUCUCAGCCUCCUUCCCAUUUCCUGGGAAUCUGGAUAUACCGUCAUCACACGCUCUCAGACCUGCGGAAGGAUGACAUAUGGCAAGCCUGGUACAGCCUCUUAAAAGAGAAAAGGCCAAGAAGCAGAAGAAAGCCAGGAGUUAAUCAACGACAGAGCUAAGGGUAAGGUUCACCUUGCACUUCUGGACUUCCACACAGUGUCCAUCCCAGAAGGCAGUGAGGUUGUUCUUGAUUUCAUCUCAUUCCUCACAACUUGAGGAACAGCUGCGCUGGGGCCUGAUGGCCACUCUGAGCAGCUUCCAACAGCUAGGUUUGCAGUUAGAGCCCGAGCUACACCUCCUAAACUAAUGAGUUUAAACUAACUUCACUACGUGGUCACCAGGCUGUUGUUAGGUCCUGAAUAUCAACUACCCGGAUGACCUCUAAGACCGGCUCUGGGAUGGUUAAUACAGACAGUCCACAGUCCACCUGACAGACCUGGUAUCAACUAGCAGACAAACCUUUGACUGUAUCUGGGAGGGCAUUUUACACUGGAUUCCGUGAAUGGGGCGGGGG